This 539-nucleotide ribosomal RNA is filed under the name Fusarium tricinctum. RNAcentral's name for it is "eukaryotic LSU rRNA". The stretch from base 156 to 309 matches the Rfam family "5.8S ribosomal RNA". Lineage: Eukaryota; Fungi; Ascomycota; Sordariomycetes; Hypocreales; Nectriaceae. The record is from RNAcentral.
AUGGGUAUCGAGCUUAAUCUCCCAACCCCUGUGACAUACCUUAAUGUUGCCUCGGCGGAUCAGCCCGCGCCCCGUAAAACGGGACGGCCCGCCAGAGGACCCAAACUCUAAUGUUUCUUAUUGUAACUUCUGAGUAAAACAAACAAAUAAAUCAAAACUUUCAACAACGGAUCUCUUGGUUCUGGCAUCGAUGAAGAACGCAGCAAAAUGCGAUAAGUAAUGUGAAUUGCAGAAUUCAGUGAAUCAUCGAAUCUUUGAACGCACAUUGCGCCCGCUGGUAUUCCGGCGGGCAUGCCUGUUCGAGCGUCAUUUCAACCCUCAAGCCCCCGGGUUUGGUGUUGGGGAUCGGCUCUGCCCUUCUGGGCGGUGCCGCCCCCGAAAUACAUUGGCGGUCUCGCUGCAGCCUCCAUUGCGUAGUAGCUAACACCUCGCAACUGGAACGCGGCGCGGCCAUGCCGUAAAACCCCAACUUCUGAAUGUUGACCUCGGAUCAGGUAGGAAUACCCGCUGAACUUAAGCAUAUCAAUAAAGCGGAGGAA